Molecule: ribosomal RNA, 254 nt
Filed under: uncultured bacterium
Lineage: Bacteria
Description: partial 16S ribosomal RNA
Rfam family: Bacterial small subunit ribosomal RNA
Source: RNAcentral
UACGUAGGGGGCGAGCGUUGUCCGGAUUUAUUGGGCGUAAAGAGCUCGUAGGCGGCUUGGCAGGUCGGGUGUGAAACCUCCAGGCUCAACCUGGAGACGCCACCCGAUACUGCCAUGGCUAGAGUCCGGUAGGGGACCACGGAAUUCCUGGUGUAGCGGUGAAAUGCGCAGAUAUCAGGAGGAACACCGGUGGCGAAGGCGGUGGUCUGGGCCGGAACUGACGCUGAGGAGCGAAAGCGUGGGGAGCGAACAGG